Molecule: non-coding RNA, 24 nt
Filed under: Arabidopsis thaliana (thale cress)
Lineage: Eukaryota; Viridiplantae; Streptophyta; Magnoliopsida; Brassicales; Brassicaceae
Source: RNAcentral
UUGGCCUCACGGUCUAAAAGUUAU